AGUACUGUCCUACGGGGGGCAGCAGUAGGGAAUUUUCGUCAAUGGGCGCAAGCCUGAACGAGCAAUGCCGCGUGAACGAGGAAGGUCUUCGGAUCGUAAAGUUCUGUUGAGAGGGAAAAGGGUCACCAGAGGAAAUGCUGGUGAAGUGAUAUUACCUUUCGAGGAAGUCACGGCUAACUACGUGCC
Molecule: ribosomal RNA, 186 nt
Filed under: uncultured bacterium
Lineage: Bacteria
Description: partial 16S ribosomal RNA
Rfam family: Bacterial small subunit ribosomal RNA
Source: RNAcentral